RNAcentral lists this ribosomal RNA (253 nucleotides) under uncultured bacterium. Its description in RNAcentral is "partial 16S ribosomal RNA". It matches the Rfam family "Bacterial small subunit ribosomal RNA", at positions 524 to 776 of the family's 1533-position model. The record is from RNAcentral.
UACGGGGGGAGCAAGCGUUGUUCGGAUUUACUGGGCGUAAAGAGCUCGUAGGCGGUUUGUCGCGUCUGCUGUGAAAACUCGGGGCUUAACUCCGGGCCUGCAGUGGGUACGGGCAGACUAGAGUGCGGUAGGGGAGACUGGAAUUCCUGGUGUAGCGGUGAAAUGCGCAGAUAUCAGGAGGAACACCGGUGGCGAAGGCGGGUCUCUGGGCCGUAACUGACGCUGAGGAGCGAAAGCGUGGGGAGCGAACAGG